UCCGGAAGACAGAGCUUUCUGUGUUGUUAGUGUCAGCCUUUGUGUCAUAGACUGCAAAUCUCCCUGCUCACUGCUGCUCCACUAAGGCAGCAAAUCAGCUUCAUGCUCUUCUGGCUGAAGGCUUUUGGAAUGGAUAAGAGCAAGGGGAGGGAAAAAAAACCUGCUUCCUUGACAGGGGCAGUCCUAAAGGCUGGCUGCGGAGUGUGCAGCCACUUGCACAACAUUAUUGCACUCUUCCACGGUGGCAAGUUUGAAGAUGAAUACCUGAAGUACUGUGAGGCAGAUUUAAGCACAAGCACCAGCAGCUCAUGCCAAAGCUCCGCUCCCAGACCUAUGAACUGAUGCCAAGCCUCCUGUUUUCAAUUACGCAAACCUUCCACCUCCUGCUCCAGAGGCUGCAAGCACAGAUCCUCCACAUAAGAAUCACGCCACAUAUAGAGCCGAAUCUGAGAAGUGAAGUGGGAAGGAAACAACAGCGUGAGAGGAAGCUGGGUGAAGAGCGAUCAUCAAGAGAGAAAAGAAACAUAAAGCAGGAUAAGCAGCUUUCAGGCACUUGCACUGGAGCACCAGGGAAUGGAUUCUGCAUGGAGCACUGUGUUAUCCAGCCAGCUUCACAUAACCAAAGAAGACCCAUAGAAGAGCCUUAGCUGGACAGCAGAAGACUUGGCACCAGCGCAAAAAUGGAUGUUCCUCACCAGCCUCUUCCUUCAGAUGUAAUUUAAAAAUGAAGGGGGAUCUCAGGAGAUACCUGUCCUGGAAACACAGAAAGUUUCAGAUGAACCUUAACAGCUUUAACCUGGUCAGACUAAGAGACAGCUACUUACUUGAUCAGGUCAGUAUUUAGGCAUAAUGUUCUUGUGACUGACAUUUCCAGGUUUACACAGAAGCAAACUUUAAAAGAUUUCCCAUGGAAAUGUUUACAGUACUUUUUUACUUUAUCUGGGAUUAGAUCAUAGCUUUGGUUGGAAGGGACCUUAAGGACCAUCUAAUUCCAACCCUCUGCCAUAGGCAGGAACACCUUUCACUAGGACAGGUUGUGCAAAGCCCUAUCCAACCUGGCAUCCACAGCUUCUCCAGGCAGCUUGUGCCAGUGCCUCACUGCCCUCUGAGUAAAGGAUUUCUUCCUAACACCUAAUCUAAAUGUACCCUCUUUUAGUUUAAAGCCAUUAUUACUUGUCUUAUCAUUACACAUCCUAGGAAGGAGUCUCUCCGCCUCUUUCAUUUGCGUCCUCUUUAAGUAUUGGAAGGUCAUAGAGAUCGUGUCCAGGUUAGGGCUUUUAUUGUUGUGUAUUGGUCUCAGGUAUUUAAAGUGUACAGAAUCUCUGUUCAAAGAUCUGAGUAUUUGCAACCGAGUUUGUACAUGGAAAUGCUCAUCUCCUGGGUAGUUACCUUUUGUGUUACUGCUUUUAGAAGGUUUUCUGCACAACCAGUUUUUCACUGAGAGCAGAAGACAUCCUGUUCUUUGCUAGCCAUUUAGAAGACUGAGAAACAACAUUCCUUCAUUUCAUCCACAGUUAGGCAGCUUUGAGAGCGUAACACAAAAAGAUUUACUUAUGUGCAUUUUUGCAUAUAGGAAUGCAAGCAUAUAAAGCAUUACAGGAAUUACUAAUCUUACUAGUUCAUCUGAGCAAAAAGGCCACCUGCCUUCUAUGCACUUAAGAUUACUCUUCCACUUGCUUAAGAUUUUUUUUUAUUGUAUAAUUUCCUAUUUUUAGCACCUUAACCUUAGGUUCAUCUCGGUGGCUUCAUGCAAUCUCUGCUUUAUUCAUAUAUAUAUGUAUAUACAUCAAGGUGUAAGUAAAGAUAGCCUGUAUUUGUUUUAAUGACAGUGUAAAGUCUCUGGCCACAUUUAAUUUGUGUUUUAUUUAGGCUGGGGAAAUUAGCUGCUAAGACUGCCUUUUCUGACUCCUAAGCAGAACUGCCUACUCUUGCAUAAGCAAAGCUGUGUUUCAACUCUUUACAAUGUGGUUAUUGUAGUAUAGAAGUCAAACAUUCAGCUGCUGAACGGGGAAACAUGUUCCACUUCGAUCUGUUUAUUUAAGCAUUAGCAUCAUACAUAGUUGGUGGUUAGUGAGCAUAACUUCCUCCUCCUGUGUUUGAGAAGCUGAUUGUUAGAAGUUGGGCCUUUCGAGCAUGGUGACAGUAAGUCAAAGAGGAUGCAGUUCUCUCCAAAUAAAGUUACUCCUUUCUGUUGGAGAAUAAGUAGG
Molecule: long non-coding RNA, 2207 nt
Filed under: Numida meleagris (helmeted guineafowl)
Lineage: Eukaryota; Metazoa; Chordata; Aves; Galliformes; Numididae
Description: lncRNA (ENSNMEG00000020601.1)
Source: RNAcentral